AGAGGAGGAGAUUGGGUGGUGGUGUGGGAGAGAGAUAAAGAAACUUAAACUAGCAGAAGAUCAGUUGGCCAAUCCAAAUGUAGUAGUAAAAUCACAUAAACUUUACUCUAAAAGUGGGUAGAAGUACCAAAAUAGAUAAACCUUAAUAAAUGAACAGAAGUUACAGUAAAUAGAUAACCAAACAAGGAGAAAAAGAAGUCCGGGGGAAAAUUAAAUACAUUUUUCGGCUAAAAUUCCGCAUUGAACGAUGGAAAGAAGCUCAAAUAAGAAAGCAACUUCAAGCAACAUUCAAGAUAAUAAAAAAAGACACAGAAUCAGAAUUUAGAAAAUCCAAAACAGACAUUAAUCUUCCAAACAAGCGCAAUACACAAGCAAACACAGUAAGCGCCUGAAAUUAUACCAAAUGCUUCAAAAUCCAAGCUGAUUAAAGCUCAGCAUUAUUACAUUAAAAAAUAACCCAAAAUAAAAAAAGAUACGCAGCUUAUAUCCACGUUUCGCCAUUUCUUCCACGAUACAGAGAGACCCAGAAAACCAAUUCGCUCCG
This 544-nucleotide unclassified non-coding RNA is filed under the name Hevea brasiliensis (rubber tree). Lineage: Eukaryota; Viridiplantae; Streptophyta; Magnoliopsida; Malpighiales; Euphorbiaceae. The record is from RNAcentral.